UCCCUGGUGGUCUAGUGGCUAGGAUUCGGCGCUUUCACCGCUGCGGCCCGGGUUCAAUUCCCGGUCAGGGAA
This 72-nucleotide transfer RNA is filed under the name Papio anubis (olive baboon). RNAcentral's name for it is "tRNA-Glu (TTC) (tRNA-Glu-TTC-5-1)". It matches the Rfam family "tRNA". From Rfam's summary of the family: Transfer RNA (tRNA) molecules are approximately 80 nucleotides in length. Their secondary structure includes four short double-helical elements and three loops (D, anti-codon, and T loops). Further hydrogen bonds mediate the characteristic L-shaped molecular structure. tRNAs have two regions of fundamental functional importance: the anti-codon, which is responsible for specific mRNA codon recognition, and the 3' end, to which the tRNAs corresponding amino acid is attached (by aminoacyl-tRNA synthetases). tRNAs cope with the degeneracy of the genetic code in two manners: having more than one tRNA (with a specific anti-codon) for a particular amino acid; and 'wobble' base-pairing, i.e. permitting non-standard base-pairing at the 3rd anti-codon position. The record is from Rfam by way of RNAcentral. Lineage: Eukaryota; Metazoa; Chordata; Mammalia; Primates; Cercopithecidae.